RNAcentral lists this ribosomal RNA (1483 nucleotides) under activated sludge metagenome. Its description in RNAcentral is "bacterial LSU rRNA". It matches the Rfam family "Bacterial large subunit ribosomal RNA", at positions 1096 to 2570 of the family's 2925-position model. The record is from RNAcentral.
GGAUGUUGGCUUAGAAGCAGCCAUCAUUUAAAGAAAGCGUAAUAGCUCACUGGUCGAGUCGUCCUGCGCGGAAGAUGUAACGGGGCUAAGCACGUAACCGAAGCUUCGGAUGCCAUACUGUUUACAGUAUGUGCAUGGUAGGAGAGCGUUCUGUAGGCCUGCGAAGGUGUGCUGUGAGGCAUGCUGGAGGUAUCAGAAGUGCGAAUGCUGACAUGAGUAGCGAUAAAGGGUGUGAAAAGCACCCUCGCCGAAAGCCCAAGGUUUCCUGCGCAACGUUCAUCGGCGCAGGGUGAGUCGGCCCCUAAGGCGAGGCAGAAAUGCGUAGUCGAUGGGAAACAGGUCAAUAUUCCUGUACCGAUUCUAGAUGCGAUGUGGGGACGGAGAAGGUUAGGUCAGCCAUCUGUUGGAAUAGGUGGUUUAAGCGUGUAGGCGUGCUCUUUAGGCAAAUCCGGAGAGCUUAGCUGAGGCGUGAUGACGAGCUCUCUUUGAGAGCGAAGUAACUGAUACCCUGCUUCCAGGAAAAGCCUCUAAGCUUCAGUCAUAGAGUGACCGUACCGCAAACCGACACAGGUGGGCAGGUAGAAGAUACUAAGGCGCUUGAGAGAACUCAGGAGAAGGAACUCGGCAAAUUGAUACCGUAACUUCGGGAGAAGGUAUGCCCCAAGUAGGUGAACUCGUACAGAGGGAGCCCAAAGGGGUUGCAAAAAAUCGGUGGCUGCGACUGUUUAAUAAAAACACAGCACUCUGCAAACACGAAAGUGGACGUAUAGGGUGUGACGCCUGCCCGGUGCUGGAAGAUUAAAUGAUGGGGUGCAAGCUCUUGAUUGAAGUCCCAGUAAACGGCGGCCGUAACUAUAACGGUCCUAAGGUAGCGAAAUUCCUUGUCGGGUAAGUUCCGACCCGCACGAAUGGCGUAACGAUGGCCACACUGUCUCCUCUCGGGACUCAGCGAAGUUGAAAUGUUUGUGAAGAUGCAAUCUACCCGCGGCUAGACGGAAAGACCCCAUGAACCUUUACUGUAGCUUUACAUUGGACUUUGACAAGAUUUGUGUAGGAUAGGUGGGAGACUAUGAAGCGGUGUCGCUAGAUAUCGUGGAGUCAACCUUGAAAUACCACCCUGAUGUUGUUGAGGUUCUAACCUAGGUCCAUAAUCUGGACUGGGGACCGUGUAUGGUGGGCAGUUUGACUGGGGCGGUCUCCUCCCAAAGAGUAACGGAGGAGUGCGAAGGUAACCUAGGUACGGUCGGAAAUCGUACUGAUAGUGCAAUGGCAUAAGGUUGCUUGACUGCGAGACGGACAGGUCGAGCAGGUGCGAAAGCAGGUCAUAGUGAUCCGGUGGUUCUGUAUGGAAGGGCCAUCGCUCAACGGAUAAAAGGUACUCUGGGGAUAACAGGCUGAUUCCUCCCAAGAGUUCAUAUCGACGGGGGAGUUUGGCACCUCGAUGUCGGCUCAUCACAUCCUGGGGCUGAAGCAGGUCCCAAGG